AAAGGCAACAGGUCGUUGGCUGGGGUAAAGGCCGAUGGGCUGGACUGAGAAAGUGUCCCCGGGCGGGCAGCGGCCACCUUAACUCCUGGACGGAAUGGCUUUCGAGGAAACGCUGCAGUUCCACUAGGAGGCACCCUGACACACGCAUUUCCAGAGGGAGGGAUAACGGAAGCCAAAGUUUGUUAAGCGUUGUGCGCCGCGGCCGGGCGCGGUGAUUCACGCCUGUAAUCCCAGCACUUUGGGGGGCCGAGGCGGGCGGAUCACGACGUCAGGAGAUCGAGACCAUUCUGGCUAACACGGUGAAACCCCGUCUCUACUAAAAAUACAAAAACAAAAUUAGCUGGGCGUGGUGGCGGGCGCCUGUAGUCCCAGCUACUCGGGAGGCUGAGGUGGGAGAAUGGCGGGAACCCGGGAGGCGGAGUUUGCAGUGAGCCGAGAUUGCGCCACUGCACUCCAGCCUGGGCGACAGAGCGAGACUAUGUAUCAAAAAAAAAAAUGCGUUGUGCGCCGGGCUGAAACCGGCAUAAAACUGGGCAGAGCUAUGCAGGCAGCUACCCUCCCCCCCACCCCUACCCCCACCCCCACCCCCCUCGUGCCCGCUCCGCUACGUAUUCCCGUAUUCCCGGGUGCCUGGCAACAGUGAUGUGCUUUAGGCCUUUUUUAGAAUGCAUACAAACGGAACCAUAUCUAAGUGAUGUCUGGCUUUUUUAACUUAGCACAAUGCUUUGAGAUUCAUACUAUUGUGUUUAAUUAGUAAUUCAUUUGUGUUAUUGUUGAAUGGUAGUCUAUCAUAUGGGUAAGCCACAGUUUAUUUAUCCAUUCACCAAUUGAUGGGCCUGUCGGUUGUAGGGAACAGGAGAAAACUUCCCCUUUGCCCUCUGAAGGGUCACCGAAAAUCAACUGACAAGGCUGGGCCUGGGCUCCUGCCUGUAACCCCAGCCCUUUUUUAGCCCAAGGCAGGAGGAUCUCUUCUUUGUGAAGUGUGUAUUCAAAUCUUUUGACCAUUUAUUUAUUAGCUAGCUUGACUUUUUAUCUAAGAGUUCUUUAUAUAUUAUUGAGUUCUUUAUAUGUUUCAUACCAUGUUCUUUAUUAGCUAUACGUUUUGAAAUGUUUUCUACCUGUCUGUGGCUUGCCUCUUCAUUUUAAGUGUCUUUUGAAGCACUGAAGUUUUCAAUUUUGAUGUAAUUUAUCCAUUUUUUUCUUUUACAUAGUUCAUACCUUUUUUGUCCUACUUAAGACAUUUUUGCUAAAUUCAAGAUUAUAAGAUUUCCUCAUUUGUUACCUUCUGGAAGUUUUAUAAUUGUUGGUCUUCAUUAUAUUUAAAAUGAAUUAUUCUUUAUAGUAUCGAUAGAUGCUGGAGGCAGAUAAGGGAGGGUCCCUGGAGAAUCUCUGACCUGCCUCACAAGCUUUUGUGCAGCUGAGGAAGCCUGCCCAGGGUCUUGUCUGGGCAUGCCCACAAGGGACUUGGGGGCCCACUGCACCAGGAGAGUGGGGUGCAGCCAGAGGGAAUUCAGCCUUAUGCAGCAGGGAUGAGCAAGAAGUCUUCAGCUUGUGUGUGUUGGCCUGUUAUUCAGUCUGUGAGCUGGGAGCCUGUUGGCAGGACCCUCCUUGUUUUUUUGCUAAGAGCUUUUAAUAAAUGCCACUCUUCACCUUGCAAUGUAUUCACAUGCCUAAUUGUUCCUGGUCAUGAGACAAGAACCUGGAUUUUAGCUGAGCUAAGGAGCAAAAAUUCCUGCAUCAGUAUGAGGUGUAAGGAAGAACAGAAGGAUCCAAGUGUGAGAAAGCCCACCCUGAGUCUCUCAGAGAUUCAUUUCACUACCAGGUCAAAGACACAAUCAAAAGCCCGACAAAUGGAAUUUGUGGAAUUGGAACAAAAAGCUUUUCUUCCUAGGCACAAGAACAUCAAAGCAUAAAUCCUUCAGGUAUCAGCAAUGACAUCACUUAAGAAUUUCUCAGAAUCUUUGGCACCACCCCAGGCCUACCGGAUCAGAAUCUGAAUUUUUUAACAAGAUCUCAGAUCUAGUCAAGAGUCCAGUCUGAUUUCUCUUUAUUGGGACUACCACCCAAAGCAGAAUGAGGAUGAUGUAACCACGCCCAGUGACUUCUGGAUACCACUGACUCUAGAUGAGCAAGGAGAGACUCAGAGGAAGUCAGCGUUACUCGAUUAGAAAGUGACUGUGGCACUACCAUAGUAGUAAAAUCUACCAUGGCAGAGAAAAUGCCAUAUGUUCACCUUGCCAGUCGUUUUUCUUUUUCCUCCUGGGUUUAUAGGAAGAUGGCAGCCCCUGGCUCCCCUGCAAUCAGGCAGGGCCAUGUGACUGAGUCUUAGCUCACCAAUGUGGGAGAAAGUGAUGUGUGACACAUUAAGGCCAGGCCACUGAAACCUCUCAUGGGAACUUCCAUACUCACUUCCCUCAUCUGCUAGCCAACCCAAAAGAUUGAGUGGAGGAUUUUACAGCCCCAGGGCCUAGAGAUGCUGGAAAGAAGCCUGAUUCAGCCCUGAAUGAACCUGUGCAAAGGUGCCUCUGACCUCCAACCCUUGUUGGACUAGGAUGUUGGAAAAUACUGUGUUAAGCUACUGGGAUUUCAAAGUUGUUUGUCAUAGCAGCUAGCCAUAUUUACUCUACCUGAUAGAUCUAUGUUCUGUAAUUACAGUGUUUGCCUUUCAUGUCCUAAGGGUAAAUAAGUGAUAUAUGCAACAAUAAACUGUGAUGUACUAUAUAUUGUUUUUAUUACAUUAAAAUUCUUAAAAUUUGCUUUUUCA
This 2764-nucleotide long non-coding RNA is filed under the name Homo sapiens (human). Its description in RNAcentral is "HSALNT0320829". Lineage: Eukaryota; Metazoa; Chordata; Mammalia; Primates; Hominidae. The record is from RNAcentral.